ACGACGGCAUUGAUCACUCGCGAGGACGAGGAGGCGAGAGUGCGUCAACGGGGCCAGAGUGUGUGGGUGCGAUUCAGUUGCGGUUGUGAGUGAGUGAUGGUACAGCACUAUGGAUUACUCCAGCGGGGCACAACGCCACCCACAGUACCCGAACACAUUACACCAACAGCUGUCCCAGUUGAGCCUGAACCAAUCGGCGCUUCCUCGUCAGCAGUUAGCCACUAGUAAUGAGGGUAGUUUGCCCCAUACUGUGUAUGGUCAGGGCCAGGCUGCUUUGGACUCCUCGUCGUAUGGCAAGUCGUUUUACAAUGCUUCUUCUCCGGGCCUAUACUCCUCGUCCACUCAGGUGCAAGACCCUUCUUCUGCCCCCAUGCAUCAGAUGCUGCAACAGACACCCCAAGAUCAGUUGAAUUCGCAGUUCGUGAAUGCCAAGAACCAAUCGCUGCUCGGCAGUCCCCAGUUAUCCUGCUCAGUCCAGCGUCAACUUUCCCCGAGCAAUUUGGGCACUGCCACACUCCAAACACCACAUAUCACACCCGUGCCCUCGCAGUCGUCGUCUCCAAUACGAUCAGCAUUAGGGGGAGCUCAGUUAGGGUCAUCGUUUGGGGCGUCUCAGUUGAAUGCACCCUCCUUAACAGGGGCCCAGUUGAAUUUGUCAGGGUCUCCCAGAUUGAGUGAGGGGCUUUUUAGUGGAGUUACAGAAAAUCAAAAUAGUUUAGGGUCAAGAUCAUCUCUGUUGAGCCAGCUAGAUGGGGCACAGUUGAUGUCAUCCGUCUCUGGGUCAUCAUUGCAAGUGCAGGACAGAGGAGUUUCUCCUUUGUUAUCACAGCAGUCUCCUAUUCAGUCCAGGCUAAGUGGGGCACAGUUAGGUUCAAGUUGGAAUUCGACAGAAGGUCAAAAUAUGGGGUACCAGACAAUGCUUAAAGCUGACCAACAGACCCAGCAAGUGGGCUAUGGAAGCUCCUCCAGUCAGUAUGGAUCAUCUCUCAUGAAUGGUCAGCUAUUGCCAGAACCACAAAUGCAAAACAGUGUGCAAUACCUUGAUCAAAUGCAGUACAAUAUGGGGUAUUCCUCUAUGCAGCAUCAACAGUUUGGAAAUACGGGCUACAAUCAACUCCAGCCUUUUUCUCAAGAUCAAAAUUUUCACUUUAGUGUUGAUUAUAUCGAUAGUACUGAUCCCAAUGCAUAUCAGGAUUAUUACUAUGGUGAUUAUCAAUAUAAUGGCAGUUACAGCAAUUCAUUGGACAGUUUAGACCCGAAUUACCAAGGAACUCCACUAGGACGGGCACCAACCCCAUACGGUGAUGUAACUGUUGAGGAUCUGGGCCCUGAAAUGGUUCGUUGGUUUUAUAAGGUAGAAGCAGAUAAGAAAUGGACUCCGUUCAUAGGCUACGACUCUCUACGUAUAGAAUGGAAGUAUCGGGACCUCCUUCAAGAUACGGGUACAUCGCCAGAGGGAUCAAAAAAAGAAUCAUUUAUUAGUGGAAGUGAACAUUCCUCACCAAAGGAGUCAGAGAAGUCAGGAGUUGUGGAAAGGAUUGUUGUCCGUGGUGGCCUUUAUGAAGUAGAUGUGAAGCAUCGAAAAUGUGAAAGCAUUUAUUGGCAAGGUGAAGUUUUUGUUAUAUCUAGGGGAACGUGGUUUUAUGAAGGUGCCUGGGGCCCAGUCGAAGAAACACUGGCAGACAGAAUCGAAUACGAGCAUUUGCUCAAUUUUCGUGGCCAACAUCUUGCAAAUCAACGAAUUGAUGAUGCUACUAAACAAGUUGUUCAUUCCAUGACAAUUGCUGAAGGGCAAGUUGACUGGUUUAGUGCCUCAGAGGUGUACAUGUCGUCUGAUGGGACCUCGUCACGAUUGAUGCGUUCAGUUGGAAAGAAACUGGGUUUCCAGAAGACUGGAUAUAAACUACACAGGGGAUAUAGUAUAGAUGCCACUGCAAGUGAUAAGCCACCAGAUAUCAAUCACAUUGUAUUUGUUAUUCAUGGCAUUGGUCAGAAGAUGGAGAGGGGUCGCAUUAUCAAAAACUGCACUGUGUUGCGAGAAAACAUUGGUUUUUUGAAGCAGAAGUAUUACCCCUCUAUUGCACAGAGUGGUCAGACGAUUGAAUUCUUUCCUGUGGAAUGGCGGUCAUCUUUAGUGUUGGACGCUGGAGUCAUCGAAUCUAUUACCCCUCAUAAGAUUCUCAACAUUAGACAGAUGCUUAAUGCUUCAUUUAUGGACAUCAUGUAUUAUAAUAGCCCACUGUACAGAGAAGAAGUAAUCAAAGGCUUGGCAGGGGAAAUGAAUAGGCUUUACACAAUGUUCACACAACGAAAUCCAUAUUUCGAAGCUAAUGGAGGUAAGGUCUCCAUUGUGGCUCAUUCUCUUGGCUGUGUUAUCACGUAUGAUAUUGUCAUUGGAUGGAAUCCAGCUCAGCAGUUUGACCAGCAGAUGGUGCAGGCGUUGGUUGAAUGCAUUGAUAAAAAAGAAGACGCCACAUCUAGAUCAAAAGAAUGUUUGAAAGAAGAAUUAAGAAAAUUGAUCAAAUCAUAUGAAAGUAAUCAUUCUCAACCCUCUCUCAAUUUCAAGAUUGAAAACUUCUUUUGCCUUGGAUCCCCACUCGCCGUCUUUCUAGCCUUACGCACCAAAAAUGCAGAUGGCGAAUUUCCAGACCUUAUUCCCCCGAGGCUCUGCAAACGUUUGCUCAAUAUCUUUCAUCCUGCAGAUCCUGUGGCUUAUAGGAUUGAGCCACUUCUUUGUCCACAGUACUUCAAUAUUGCACCACUUCUUGUCCACUCUUACAAUGCAACUGAAAAAGUUCCCUAUCAUGAAAUGCCUCUUGAACCCCUAAUUGUUCCUAGAGAAAAGGAUGGAGAGAAGGGCAAACCAGAUUCAGAAAGUAAUACUCCUGUCUCAUCUGUUCCCAGUACACCUGUAAAAGGUGUAGGGGCUUCAAGUACUACUUGGAGUUGGUGGGGCUUGAUGAAAGGAAGCAAAAGACCAGAUGCAGGUUUUGCUACUCAGGAUCCCAGUUCAGCAUUGCAAGAUAAAGGAGGUUUGGCAGAACGAACUGACUUUGUUUUGCGGGAAGGCAGCAUGGAAAGUAGCUAUAUCUCUGCUGUUACCUCGCACACUGCAUACUGGACAAAUUAUGAUGUCUCACAUUUCAUACUAAGCAUUUUGUACCCAGAAGUACAGCCUACAUCGGGGAAACCAGAUAUUUUAAAGCCAUAAGUUGACUAGGCUGUGAAGAACUUUGAAUGGUUGUGAGUUAAUAAAAUAGAUAAAUGAAGUACUAGAGAAGAAAUUUCUUGCAGAAAAAGAUGUAACGAGAUAUCAUGAAAACUUGGUGAAAAUAAUGAUCAUCUUAUCUACUGGUUGUGUGGAGGAAUCCAUUAAGCAGAACUUUGAAAUGAUGUAACUCCCUUCAGAGCUCUUAUUAUUUUGGUGUGGGAAGUGUCAAGACUACUGAACUAGACUCUGUAAUCUGCUGUGUGACAUCAAAAACGGGCCUGUAACGUCAUGGCUGCUGCUGACUCCAUGUUUUGACGUUGCUGUGUUUGACUGAGGGCCGAUCUCUCGUCCCAUUCCUUCAGCGAUGGAUUUUCUUGGAGAUUCUUAGUUAUCCGUCACUUGUGCAUGUCCUGGGGAGGAGGCCCUCUGGUUGCGUUGCUGUAGGAGGUGGCAGAAGGCCUUUUUAUGCCAUCCUUGCUGUCACAGAGACCUUUGACUUGGGUUUCCAGUCUGAAUGCUGUGACGUUAUUCUCAAUACUUCUCUGCCUGUGACAUCUCUCCUCUGUAUGUUGCAGUGACAUAACUUCCACCAUUGUCCAUGACACCAUCGCGGUCGGCUGUCAACCCAUCAGAGGUGUUCUUCCUAGAGUUGAUUGAUUGGAUGGAUGGAUUAUGAAAUUUAGGGCAUAGCCCAAGCACUGGGACCUAUAAGAUCAUUCAGCGCUGAAAUGAAAGUAUGGCUAGAUGGAGAAAUGAAAUGAAAAUGAUAAACUGAUGACAAUCCUGCACUUGAACAGGACUGUACAUCAGCAAAGGCCAUUUUACUCUCCCCCCAGCAUUCCGAUCAUCCAAAGUUAUGAAAGAUUGUUUUGGCCAGGGGGCUGAUUGAUUGAAUGGACUACAUGUUUGGUAGGAGGUGUCCCAGUUUCAAGUACGAAGCAUCGUAGGGCAAAACCUCCAUCACCUUUUCAUUCUCCUUCCCUCCCGUUGGAGAAUUCGAGACUUGUGGCAUCUUCUGAGAGUGAGAGUGGUGUUUCUCCAUCUUCCCAGCACGGACGUGACUCUCCCCUUCCAGUACGUGAAUGUGUUCCAGUCAGUGUGGCGUCUUCUGAUAGUGAGAGAGGUGUUUCUCCAUCUUCACAGCAAGGAUGUGACUCCCCCCUCGAAGUACUUGUAAUCCUUAACAUCAUCACUGACAGUACCAAGUUCACCCACACAUCAUUUGCUCAGCAUCCACAGGGUCACUUUAAUGACUUUUUCCUUUGCUUUCCUUCCUGUUGCCACAUGCUUUGUUUUGCUUGCAUUUAUUCCCAAUCCUCUCCCCAUUCUGCUUUUUCAUCUUUUCAAGCACUUACAGUUGAUACAUCAUAUAGCACAGUACAUGACAUAAUUCAUCCUCUCUACUUCAUUUUCUACUUUCCUAUAUGACUAACCUGAAACUUUUACUCCAGAGUCUUUGGCACCAAUGCGAAGCUACUCCACAGUACUUUUUAAACAGUUAAUUUACACUCUUGUCAACCAAUUAAAUGUCAAGAGAUAUGAGAAUAAUAAAAUAAACAUCCUAAAAUUUCAAACUGAAAUUUAUCUUACCUCAUGCUCUGCAUUCUUUACUCCAAUACAGU
Molecule: RNA transcript, 4833 nt
Organism: Macrobrachium nipponense
Lineage: Eukaryota; Metazoa; Arthropoda; Malacostraca; Decapoda; Palaemonidae
Gene name: phospholipase DDHD1-like
Exons: 14
Source: RefSeq, a predicted model, not a curated record